Molecule: RNA transcript, 2394 nt
Organism: Oncorhynchus gorbuscha (pink salmon)
Lineage: Eukaryota; Metazoa; Chordata; Actinopteri; Salmoniformes; Salmonidae
Exons: 5
Source: RefSeq, a predicted model, not a curated record
GUGAUCAAUAAGGUCAUUAAAGAAAACACCAGACUAAUACCUAUCAGGAUUAUUUGUGAGGAUAACAUCGAGGAGAGUAGCCUUUUCUGGGUGUUUGGAGUCAUACUUUGUGGGAUUGGUAAUAUACAACUCUCAGUCCAAGAACUACGAUUUAUUGUCCACCAGGAAUGUUUGUGUUUCAUGGAUAGACCUUGACAACUAAAUGUUAUUGGAUAUGUUACAUGAUAGUGUUCAAGUGGUCCUAAUUGAGUCUUCCAGUACAGUUAUUGCUCUUUUCCUAUAGAAUUAGCAUAUUCAGUCUAUUGUCAUAGGUCUAUGGAAAUCAUUUAUAACCAAAUAGGCUAAACUUGUCCUGAAUGACGCAAAUAAAUAUAUUGUACUGGAUUGGAAAGAUACGGUUCGACGACGCAGUUCUUGGAACGUCAGCGGUAAAUUUGGGGGUGAAAUUAAGUUUCCAACUCUUCAAGUCCGCGUGUCGCUCCAGGGUCGCGAGCUAUGGGAACAGUUUGGAGAUAUCGGAACAGAGAUGCUUUUCACCAAAACAGGAAGGUAGAAUGUGUGGAUGGAUGAUAAAUAAUUACCGGUAGCCAUUUAUAAUAAUCCCUUGUCCUCGCUGUGUCGUUUUUUUUUGGAGAAGAAAGGCUUUGAAAGAGUUAUGCUGUGUUGGAAAUGUAUUAGAGAAAUUAUAUGUUUCUUUCAUAAUGACAAUUUACCAUUAUAAUUUAAAGGAAAAGUUGUAUUGUCUAUCCUGCCGCUCUAUGUGAUUAAAUAAGCGAUUGAGGCGACCUGUUAGUUCAAAAGUGUUCCAAUUUACCGCCUGAUGUUAUAGGCGCAUGUUUCCAAACUGCGUAGUCACUGUGACGGGGUUAAAUCCUCGGGCAAAGUACAUGCUGAUGAUGGAGAUGGUCUAGUCUGAUGAUAACAAAUACAAGUGGAGCAGGGAUCACUGGGUAGUGAGUGGUAUGACUGAACCCCACCUUUCCAACCACUUCUUCAUCCAACCAAACUCACCUGCCCUGGGAGAGAGGUGAAUGCAGUGCCCAGCCCCACCUUUCCAACCGCUUCUUCAUCCAACCAAACUCACCCGCCCUGGGAGAGAGGUGGAUGCAGUGCCCAGUCUCUUUCCACAAGCAAACUCACCCGCCCUGGGAGAGAGGUGGAUGCAGUGCCCAGUCUCUUUCCACAAGCAAACUCAACCGCCCUGGGAGAGAGGUGGAUGCAGUGCCCAGUCUCUUUCCACAAGCAAACUCACCCGCCCUGGGAGAGAGGUGGAUGCAGUGCCCAGUCUCUUUCCACAAGCAAACUCACCUUCCCUGGGAGAGAGGUGGAUGCAGUGCCCAGUCUCUUUCCACAAGCAAACUCACCUUCCCUGGGAGAGAGGUGGAUGCAGUGCCCAGUCUCUUUCCACAAGCAAACUCACCCGCCCUGGGAGAGAGGUGGAUGCAGUGCCCAGUCUCUUUCCACAAGCAAACUCACCUGCCCUGGGAUAGAGGUGGAUGCAGUGCCCAGUCUCUUUCCACAAGCAAACUGUCCCGCCCUGGGAGAGAGGUGGAUGCAGUGCCCAGUCUCUUUCCACAAGCAAACUCACCUGCCCUGGGAGAGAGGUGGAUGCAGUGCCAAGUCUCUUUCCACAAGCAAACUCACCAACACCCUCAACUCCAAUAGCCUGGUGGUUCUCCACUCCAUGCAUAAGUACCAGCCCUGCCUGCACAUUGUCCUGUCUCCAGACCCCCACAGCCCUCUGUCAGGGGACUACCUGCACUUCACCUUCCCUGAGGCAGCCUUCAUCGCUGUCACUGCCUACCAGAACUCAGAGGUUCAGAGAAAAGGAAGGACAGAACUCUGACAAACUAAAUGUAAGAACGCCUGCGGAAUCAAAAACCUUCAAAUGGUAGUCAAAGGACCCACAACAACCACAAACACAACACACUUCGUACCUGGGCCUAUGACCGCCCUGGGCAGCAUAAGGAGGCCAGGAUACUGGUUUACCAAAUGUUGCCUCUCCUCUCUUCCUCACACACCACACCCUCCACUGGGCCAGACUCAGUUGGCUUCAGGAGGCCCCUGGCACAGAGCAGCAGACCAGUGGGGCCUCACCCACCUCACCACAGAAGACCUGGUGCCACACCCACACAGCAGACCACUACCAGGUGCACCAGAAAACAGCCCCAGCAGGCUGAGUACUCCCCCCCCCCCACGGGCCAGAGUACAUGUCUCUCCAUAGCAUGAUGCUCUACCACCAAAACAGCUUGAUGGGCUCUGUGGGGCAACUAAGAGAUAGCCAUGUGGACAUUCAAGUCCCCUCCUCCUCUCUAGAAUAUCCCUAUAAGGCACCUAUGCGUGACUUGGAUUUUGAUGAACAGUGAGAAAUAAAGAGAUCUCUUGCUCAGUAAA